CCUUCAUAGAAAUGUAUUCAUCAUUCAUUUUUACAUCUACAGGAGGCAGCCAGUGCAAGUCUGGGUGGUGCUCCACUGUGUUAGGCACUCACAUUCCUGCCAUCUUGUUCUUCAGGCGAUCCUCUCCAGGACCCACCCUUGGAAGCCUGAAUCCAUCAGUGUGAGCGUGCCACGAGUGACUCCAUUCUGCUCAAGACAAUUUCCCCACUGUGAAUCAACUGCGCUGCGUCCUGAGAGCCUAGAGAAGCAGCGUGCGGGGCAAGGCUGUAAGGAAUCCACCGAGUGCUGCUGCGCUGUGGGUGUCAUGCUGCAGAAAGGUGCUUGCUUAGCGUGUGAUCUCCAGCACUGCAAUAAAUAAGUAAACAAACAUCGAAACAUUUUUUAAAAAGGAAUUUGUUUAGUGAAUGAAAGCUCUGGUCCGGGCUGGUCUGCAGCAA
This 437-nucleotide long non-coding RNA is filed under the name Heterocephalus glaber (naked mole-rat). RNAcentral's name for it is "lncRNA (ENSHGLG00100040258.1)". The record is from RNAcentral. Lineage: Eukaryota; Metazoa; Chordata; Mammalia; Rodentia; Bathyergidae.